CAUGCAAGUCGAACGAAGGCUUCGGCCUUAGUGGCGCACGGGUGCGUAACGCGUGGGAAUCUGCCCUUGGGUUCGGAAUAACAGUUAGAAAUGACUGCUAAUACCGGAUGAUGUCGCAAGACCAAAGAUUUAUCGCCCAAGGAUGAGCCCGCGUAGGAUUAGCUAGUUGGUGAGGUAAAAGCUCACCAAGGCGACGAUCCUUAGCUGGUCUGAGAGGAUGAUCAGCCACACUGGGACUGAGACACGGCCCAGACUCCUACGGGAGGCAGCAGUGGGGAAUAUUGGACAAUGGGCGAAAGCCUGAUCCAGCAAUGCCGCGUGAGUGAUGAAGGCCUUAGGGUUGUAAAGCUCUUUUACCCGGGAUGAUAAUGACAGUACCGGGAGAAUAAGCUCCGGCUAACUUCGUGCCAGCAGCCGCGGUAAUACGAGGGGAGCUAGCGUUAUUCGGAAUUACUGGGCGUAAAGCGCACGUAGGCGGCUUUGUAAGUUAGAGGUGAAAGCCCGGGGCUCAACUCCGGAAUUGCCUUUAAGACUGCAUCGCUUGAAUCCAGGAGAGGUGAGUGGAAUUCCGAGUGUAGAGGUGAAAUUCGUAGAUAUUAGGAAGAACACCAGUGGCGAANGCGGCUCACUGGCCCGGUACUGACGCUCA
RNAcentral lists this ribosomal RNA (649 nucleotides) under uncultured bacterium. RNAcentral's name for it is "bacterial SSU rRNA". It matches the Rfam family "Bacterial small subunit ribosomal RNA", at positions 54 to 749 of the family's 1533-position model. The record is from RNAcentral.